CUGGGGCGGCCCUUCCCAUUUACCUGUCUUAAAUAUAGGACCUGAAUAAAUGGACAAACAUGAGACAUCAGAGUGCUUUAUAUGCAGGGAUGGUGAACUUAAAGCCAGUGACCCGCUGAGGAAUUUCUGCGACUGCAAGAAUUUACUUGCCCAUCACGUGUGUCUGUCCACAUGGAUCCAGAGGGGAUGUGGGAGUGAAGACAGAGUGCGAUGCAUCAUCUGCAAGGCCAAGUACCAGCUGCAGAGGAGUUCCCCGUGGCGGUCGGUGAGCUUCCAGUGGCAGACGUGGCUCGUGCUGAUCACGGCGACCGUUUUGAUGAGUCUGGUGCCCUACGCUGUUUACUGCAUGAUGACAGCCUUCACCAACCCUCCUCCUCCCAGCACCUUUAAAGUGGCAGCAAUUUCCUUCGGUAUACUGACAGAGACCCUGCUCAUCAAGUGUCUGUGGAGUUACUUCAGCUCUCGGUACCGGCAGGCUGCGCAGAACUCCUUCGUAGUCCAGCCCAGAGGCUCGACGGAAGACAGAAGCAACCCCGGCCUCUGGGAUCGGCCUGAGGCCGCCUCAGCAGGUCACGCUUCAUCAGCAGCCUCACCCACUCACGUGGAGGAGAGGAAAGUGGAUGUGUUGAAGAGUGGAUGCCUCAGCCUUUUCUGAACCAACAACAGAAGGAGUUUACAGAUUACAGGGUGAGAGUAAAUCCUUGGGGAAUUAGAUGUGUCUGAGAGCCAUUGAAGUUAUCACAUCAGUAUAUCAGUGUGGCAUUUAUAAGAACUUACACUUUAAAACCUAUUUUCGAGGUGUCAAAUAUUCUUGUUUUCCUUACACUCUCACUCGUUUCAGUGGAUAUAUUCACACAUGUUGCAAAUUGAUAACAAGGAAGAGAAUGCACGCAGGCAGCAUGAGUGUAUUCAGGCUCAGAGAGGGGAAAAAAAAGCCUGAAAUUACUCCCUUUCCUUAAUGAUGCCCACACAGAGACAAUGGGGCGCCGCUCUGAUUAGUGUCACCUGUCCUUGUGCAUCUCAUCAGCUCCAUUAUGGCUCCAUCUCCCAUGCUUCUUCUGCUAAUUGAAUAGCCUGUGAAGUGGUGACGAGGACGGGGGCGAGAGCAACGUCUGUCCCGCUGCUGCUUCAGAAAUGAGACUAAAGCUUCCCAGAGAGACACUAGUUCUUAAAACAUAAACCAUUAUCAUACAGACAGAAAGCGUGCUAACAAGUCGCUCUCAUGUUAUAUUACCGUCACACUGUCUGCACACUAUUUUCACCUAUAACUGCUUGGAAUUAACAUUUUGGGCCAUUUGCAGCAAAAGAGAUGGAUGAGAGGAAUGAUAAUCAAACACACAUUGUUUAUUAAAUAUAAGAUUAUUGCUGGUUAGGUUAGCUUAGCACAAAGUCUGGGAACAUGGAGCCUAGCUUUGAUGAAAUCUGCAUACCAGGUGAGCUCUGAAGCUCACCAUCAACCCCCGAUCUGUUGUGUCUUCGGUGUCUUCCAAAACUGACGUUGUGGGCAGUUGAAAGUGGUGUAAGACAGACAUUUAUCUAUCAAGUGCAUCUUUUUAGCCUACCGUUCCUGAUGACUGUUACCAAUCAGCUUUGCAGCUGCUAAAUGAAUCAUGUAAAAUAUUAAAUUGCACCGAUUCCCUUCUUCCAUGGUUGCAGCCAGCGGGUCCUGGUGAAUAAACUGCUUUUUCUGGAGGAGAAACCUAACAUGUUGAUUGCACAAUUACCUUGCUUGGUAUAAGUUUGCAUUACUUUCAAAUAAAGUUUCCCAUAUCAGCUUCCCACAAAACCUUUAGAGUAUCACUUUGAAUAGUUUACAUCAGAACAACCCAGUCAGACAUCAGCAGGUGCUCCUUCUUUAUUCAAAGCAGCUGUCAGUCACAGCAGUCUGUAAUGAGGACAAAUAAUCUUAUUAUAGCAUCAAAUAACUCAUAAUCAGCAAACUGAUAACAAAAAAUAUCAACAUCAGUGUUCUGACAAGUGCCUACAAUAGGAACUUAUUUUUUUAGGGGGGGGGGGGGCUUAAUUGAAGGUUAUAUAAAGGUUAUUCCUGGAGGUAAAACUACUGAAAUUUUGGGAGAUUGUCUGGGAUUCAUUUACAUGUUUUCAGCAGUGGGAGAAAUGGAAGCUCCCAGGAGAGUAUUACAACUCCACUCAGAAGGACUCUUAACCUCCAAGCUGUCACCCAAGUGAUGACACGUUGAUGACAUCAUCCAGGUUUUGAGUGGAGUUCUCCUUCAAUAGUCACUCAAAUGUGCUGUAAAUUGGUGAUCCUGUAUAAAUGUGUUUCAUAUAUAGGAAACUGUCUUGUAUAUUAAACAGUCAAAUAACUGAGUGUUGUCCUUUGUUAUAUCACUGUGGGGGGGGAUUUUCUAAAGUAAAUGAGAGUUAUUAAAAACUGAGGCGGGCCUCUAUCUGA
Molecule: long non-coding RNA, 2416 nt
Organism: Oreochromis aureus
Lineage: Eukaryota; Metazoa; Chordata; Actinopteri; Cichliformes; Cichlidae
Source: Ensembl